This 427-nucleotide ribosomal RNA is filed under the name uncultured bacterium. RNAcentral's name for it is "partial 16S ribosomal RNA". It matches the Rfam family "Bacterial small subunit ribosomal RNA", at positions 354 to 796 of the family's 1533-position model. The record is from RNAcentral.
GUGAGGAAUAUUGCACAAUGGGCGAAAGCCUGAUGCAGCAACGCCGCGUGAGUGAUGAAGGCCUUUGGGUCGUAAAACUCUGUCCUUGGGGAAGAAAAAAAUGACGGUACCCUUGGAGGAAGCCCCGGCUAACUACGUGCCAGCAGCCGCGGUAAUACGUAGGGGGCGAGCGUUAUCCGGAAUUAUUGGGCGUAAAGAGUGCGUAGGUGGUUUUGUAAGCGUAGGGUGAAAGGCAGUAGCUCAACUAUUGUUAGCCCUGCGAACUGUGAGACUUGAGUGCAGGAGAGGAAAGUGGAAUUCCUAGUGUAGCGGUGAAAUGCGUAGAUAUUAGGAGGAACACCAGUGGCGAAGGCGACUUUCUGGACUGUAACUGACACUGAGGCACGAAAGCGUGGGUAGCAAACAGGAUUAGAAACCCGUGUAGUCC